AAUUUUAACAUAUAGGGGUGUUUGGUUUAACUUUUCAAAACCCAAAAUCCGGAAAAGUUACAGCCGCCAUCAUCCCGUCGCCAGUUCCUUCAGGCGAUGUACCGACCGCCAACCACCAUAGUUUGUCGUUUAUCCUCCGCUCCACCGCCGUCUCCACCAAAGAAAAUAACAACACCCCCAGGGAAAUCGGCGAUGUACCGACCACCAAACACCACAGUUCGCCGUUUACCCUCUGCUCCACGACCGCCUCCACCAGAAAAAAUAACGACGCCCAGGGAAAUCGGUAACUUGCUACUUUUCACUUCAUUUUGGUUGAUGAUUCACAAAUUGAUGUUCAUGAUAAGUUAUUCACGAUUGUUACCAAUCGUGAUAACUGGGGAUACUAUGUUGUGUUUUUCUGUAUAUUGAAUAUAAAAAUGCCUCUUAUGAGGUAGAAGAAGAUGAAUGGGCUGGACAAGGAGCUGAAAAAGCUCAUGGAGAUUGAUUUGGGGGGCAAUAUACAACAAAACAUGAUAUGAAUCAAGAUAGUUACAAGAAACAACGCCAUGAUGUCGUUAGAGAGAGACAAAAUAAGAAAGAAUUAGAAGUAUUUGUUGGUGGAUUAGAUCGUUAUACAAAUGAAGUUGAUCUUAGAGAUGUUUUUAGUCAAGUGGGUGACACUUUGUUUGUUGGUAACAUUGCAAGACAUGGUCAAAAGAUAUGGUAUGUUGCAUGUUCUGUUUCUUUUAUAUUCAUUUGGAUUCUUUAUUCAUAUGGGAACCGUUUCUGUAAAGAAAUCCCUUUUGGGUGUUGUUGAUGUUGCUUUUGAAGCAUAAUAACUGACUUUUAGUUUUUUUUUCAGUUGAAGGAAGUCAAGUGGGUGACACUUUGUUUGUUGGUAACAUUUGCAAGAUUGAUCUUUUUGCUCUUUGUUUCCGAUGCGUUCAUGUGUUCCUCCAAUCUGAACGUUUUGUUCUUUUUCUAUACUUUCUUUUUAUUUAUAUGUAAUACAUAUGCUUUCCUGUUUUUAGGUAUGUUACAGUGCACACCAACUGUUUGUUGUAAUGUUUCACCUGUUGGAUUGUCAAUUUUAAUUAAAUUAGCUUACACAACUGCUCAAUUUGGGACAAUAUGUCCGGAGAAGUAAUAUUUUUAUCAUGAAAUUGUUAGUUUUCACCACAAACGUAUGUAUGUGUGUGAUUGUUUAUUUGUUUUUGUAGAUAAAUGGAAGCAAUUGUACUGAAUAUGUCAAUGAGUUUGUUGAUGUAGGAUUUUGAAACCAAUCUGAUUGCCCAAAUGGAGCGAUGUCGUAAGCCGGCCAUCAGACCGAUUUCAGGGUUCGCUUUUAUGGCGGGUUCGGCAUCUCCCUUAAUUGUGAUAUAUUAAUGGCUUCUAAAGAUGCUAAAUUUAUCGAUACACAUACCAGGGUUGUUGAUUUUCUAUAAAGCUUAUCAUAUAGCUACGAUUUGUUCCGAUUAGUGAUUACCAUAUUAUGCUAGCCCAAAAAUUUUCUUUUACUUGAAUCUAACUGCCACUAUCAUUCUUUCUAAGUUCUCCCAUGACCUCCGCAUCACCAUUGCUGGUCGUAAUAGGUUUUGCUGUACUUCAUGAGUUAUUUGAGUUUUGUAUACAGUUUUCAUUUGUGGUCCCUUUGUGGUUGAAUGUGUUUUUAGUUAAUCGGGUGGAAUAUGUGUCAAGUUGUAAAUGUUUGCUGUUUUUUUUCCUCCAAUGUCUGUUUCUAUUCUCAAAAGAAAUUCAGUUACAUAUUUGACUUAUUAUAGAUUGGAUGACGCUAUAUUUGUUAUGAAAGAUGUGAAACGAUCAUGUUGAUCAUGUUGGUCACUGAUAAUGAGUAUAAAACUAACUGGCAUUCAAAUUUUGAAGCUCAUUUGGUUACAGCUCUAAAAUGGCAUGUUCUCAUGGACACCCAUAACAGAUACAACUCUACAGGGAAGAACGACAUAUAAGUUACAAAAUAAUACCUUAAUGUAUAACAUAUGUCAAUCUCAUUAAAGGGAUGUUGAAACUGUUAUAGUUAUAUUUUAGAGUCAGACAUGCAACUAACAAAUCAAUUAUGGAAUGGAAUUUCUCAAAAACCUACAUAAGGAGAUUAUGUGCUUCCUUCCAAAUAGUUUAACUACACACUUUUAAUUGCUGAAAAUUUUACAAUUUGUAACUUCAUAUGUGCUGGCAGAUUACAAGAAAGAAUGCGGCAAAAGUCAACAACAUGAAUCAUUUUGAUGACGUGCCUGAUCUGGUGAUCUGAAACAGGUGACUAUUGAAAAAGUUGACAUGAACAUACGUGGUUCUCUCAGAAAGACGCUAUUGGGAUGGAUCCAAAUUUAAAAGACAAGGACAAAAAUACUCCACAUUAUGUUGAUGUGCAAGAUGAGGACAAAUCAGCUCCUUCCCUUCAAGACAUGACACUACUCAAACAGUUCCCUAUUUCUCCUGUUAAGUUGUUAGGAAAGCAUGAUAAGGUGCUUGCUAUUGAUAGAAGAGCCGUGAUGUGAGACCAUCAAAAGCUUAUUGACACAUAUAUGUUGCCCUGAACGGAGCAUUCAGAUAGCUACAAAAUAAGUAGGUGCCGAAGAUAUAAUAUAUGUGGAGUUGUCAAAAAAUUCCAAUUAAAUAAAAACACAAACGGAUUUUUUCCCUAAUUGUAUUUGAGGUGUUGCACUGUAUUACAAACGAAUACGGUCUAACCCCCGCAACGCGGGGCAUCUUUUCUAGUAUAUAUUAAAGAUAUGAAAGUUAGGAAUAGUAAACUUCCUAAGUGUUUAACAA
This is a non-coding RNA of Lactuca sativa (garden lettuce), 2766 nucleotides long. Lineage: Eukaryota; Viridiplantae; Streptophyta; Magnoliopsida; Asterales; Asteraceae. The record is from RefSeq and is a predicted model, not a curated record.